RNAcentral lists this ribosomal RNA (250 nucleotides) under uncultured bacterium. Its description in RNAcentral is "partial 16S ribosomal RNA". It matches the Rfam family "Bacterial small subunit ribosomal RNA", at positions 524 to 772 of the family's 1533-position model. The record is from RNAcentral.
GACGAACCGUGCGAACGUUAUUCGGAAUCAUUGGGCUUAAAGGGCGCGUAGGCGGCGGCGUAAGUUGGAAGUGAAAUCCCAUCGGCUCAACCGUGGAAUAGCUUUCAGUACUGCGUCGCUCGAGUGAGAUAGGGGUCCGCGGAACUACCGGUGGAGCGGUGAAAUGUGUUGAUAUCGGUGGGAACGCCAGUGGCGAAAGCGGCGGACUGGACCUUUACUGACGCUGAGGCGCGAAAGCUAGGGGAGCAAA